Molecule: non-coding RNA, 198 nt
Organism: Camellia sinensis
Lineage: Eukaryota; Viridiplantae; Streptophyta; Magnoliopsida; Ericales; Theaceae
Source: RefSeq, a predicted model, not a curated record
CAGCACAUCAUGCCACCCUAUGGUACGCCACGCACCCAUAUGUUGCAAUGUAUCCCCAUGUGGCAUAUAUGCUCAUCCAUCUAUGCCUCCGGGAUCUUAUCCUUUCAGUCCUUUUGCUAUGCCUUCUCCUAAUGGCAUGGCUGAGGCUUCUGGGAAUAUGCCUAGCAGCAUGGAAGCAGAUGGCAAGUUGUCCUGAGG